This 112-nucleotide small nucleolar RNA is filed under the name Lodderomyces parapsilosis CDC317. RNAcentral describes it as "Candida parapsilosis CDC317 Small nucleolar RNA snR87". It matches the Rfam family "Small nucleolar RNA snR87". The record is from Rfam by way of RNAcentral. Lineage: Eukaryota; Fungi; Ascomycota; Pichiomycetes; Serinales; Debaryomycetaceae.
UCAAUUCUAUGAUGACCUAUAAUUUGCGUUCUAGAGUAUUCACAUCCGAAACACGCCUAGUUUCAUUAUGGAGUGAAUACGUCAUGCGACAAUUUUAUUAACUGAGAGUUGG